This 196-nucleotide ribosomal RNA is filed under the name uncultured bacterium. RNAcentral's name for it is "partial 16S ribosomal RNA". It matches the Rfam family "Bacterial small subunit ribosomal RNA", at positions 338 to 524 of the family's 1533-position model. The record is from RNAcentral.
CCUACGGGAGGCAGCAGUGGGGAAUAUUGGACAAUGGGCGAAAGCCUGAUCCAGCCAUGCCGCGUGUGUGAAGAAGGCCUUUUGGUUGUAAAGCACUUUAAGCGAGGAGGAGGCUAACGAGAUUAAUACUCUUGGAUAGUGGACGUUACUGGCAGAAUAAGCACCGGCUAACUCUGUGGCCAGCAGCCGCGGUAAU